This 205-nucleotide long non-coding RNA is filed under the name Glycine max (soybean). RNAcentral's name for it is "long non-coding RNA (GMAX_LNC003235)". The record is from RNAcentral. Lineage: Eukaryota; Viridiplantae; Streptophyta; Magnoliopsida; Fabales; Fabaceae.
AUUUUGAAUGUUCAUGAAGGGAAAAAGGGAUGUGGGGUCAUAUUGACAAGACCUCUUAUGCUCCGGAGAACCUAGCUUUGUUGGCUACUUAGAAGACGAAAGAUGCUCAGAUUGUUUAUUGGAUUCUCAGAUCUGUUGAGCCUCAAAUGGUCAACAAUUUGCGCUUUUCUACAACCAAGGAGAUGUGAGAUUAUAUGAAGUGUAU